This 832-nucleotide ribosomal RNA is filed under the name uncultured bacterium. RNAcentral describes it as "bacterial SSU rRNA". It matches the Rfam family "Bacterial small subunit ribosomal RNA", at positions 36 to 861 of the family's 1533-position model. The record is from RNAcentral.
CUGGGCGGGCCUGCUUACCAUGCAAGUCGUGCGGAAAGGCCUCUUUUUGGGGUGCUCGAGCGGCGAACGGGUGAGUAACACGUGAGUGACCUGCCCUCAGCUUUGGGAUAACCCUCGGAAACGGGGGCUAAUACCGGAUAUGACCUUCUGGUGCAUGCCGGGGGGUGGAAAGCCUUUGUGGCGGCUGGGGAUGGGCUCGCGGCCUAUCAGCUUGUUGGUGGGGUAAUGGCCUACCAAGGCGUUGACGGGUAGCCGGCCUGAGAGGGUGUCCGGCCACACUGGGACUGAGACACGGCCCAGACUCCUACGGGAGGCAGCAGUGGGGAAUCUUGCGCAAUGGGCGGAAGCCUGACGCAGCGACGCCGCGUGAGGGAUGAAGGCCUUCGGGUUGUAAACCUCUUUCAGCCUUGACGAAGCUGCCUGGUUUUCCGGGUGGUGACGGUAGGGGUUGAAGAAGCGCCGGCUAACUACGUGCCAGCAGCCGCGGUAAGACGUAGGGCGCGAGCGUUGUCCGGAUUUAUUGGGCGUAAAGAGCUCGUAGGCGGCCUGUCACGUCAAUCGUGAAAUUCUGCGGCUUAACCGUGGGAGUGCGGUUGAUACGGGCAGGCUAGAGUGCGGUAGGGGAGACUGGAAUUCCUGGUGUAGCGGUGAAAUGCGCAGAUAUCAGGAGGAACACCGGUGGCGAAGGCGGGUCUCUGGGCCGUUACUGACGCUGAGGAGCGAAAGCGUGGGGAGCGAACAGGAUUAGAUACCCUGGUAGUCCACGCUGUAAACGUUGGGCGCUAGGUGUGGGGGUCCUUCCCGGGGUCUCUGUGCCGUAGCCUAACGCAUU